Molecule: ribosomal RNA, 322 nt
Filed under: uncultured eukaryote
Lineage: Eukaryota
Description: partial 18S ribosomal RNA
Rfam family: Eukaryotic small subunit ribosomal RNA
Source: RNAcentral
CCCUUAGAUGUUCUGGGCCGCACGCGUGCUACACUGAGUGGAUCAGCGGGUCAGGUUGCGCGAAAGUGUUUCCUAAUCUUGAAAUCCGCUCGUGAUGGGGAUUGACGGUUGCAAUUUUCCGUCAUGAACGAGGAAUACCUUGUAAGCGCGGGUCAUCAUCCCGCGCUGAAUACGUCCCUGCCCUUUGUACACACCGCCCGUCGCUCCUACCGAUUGAGUGGUCCGGUGAGGCUUUGGGAUCUGAGCAAAGAGAGCGUUUCGCUCGUUUUGCUCGGAAAACUCAGUCGAACCUUAUCAUUUAGAGGAAGGAGAAGCCGUAACA